This 844-nucleotide long non-coding RNA is filed under the name Trifolium pratense (red clover). RNAcentral's name for it is "long non-coding RNA (TPRA_LNC000735)". The record is from RNAcentral. Lineage: Eukaryota; Viridiplantae; Streptophyta; Magnoliopsida; Fabales; Fabaceae.
UUGUGUAUUAUUAAUAUUUUCGUCAACCAUAAAACCAAAAAGAAAAAGAUGGAUGCACGUGCAAAUUCUAAAGAGCCAAAAGAGAGAAUUGAUAAAUUUAUUAUUGUUGCUUGCUUCCGUGGAUUGACAAGAUUCCAUUCCAAAACUAAUCCGUAUACAAGUUUUCGUUAUGAUUUUGGUUUCAACAAUGUUUUCAUAUCAUAACUUUAUAAUAGAAAGGUAGGUAGUAAUAAAGGAAAAAGGUACUCAAGGUAAAAAAGGAAAUGGUGUCUCUAACUUGCAAACAAAAACAAUAUCAAUGCCAUAGUGAUCAUUGUUUCAAGAUAUAUCAAGGUAAAGUUUGACUUUAAAGGAUGCAUCUUCUCAUAUUUAAAUGAGUAAAGUUUGAGUUUUCCCACUAUUUAAAAAGAGAGUGAAAAUUAUGGAUUUGAAUUCCACUCAGAUAUAUCUCUAGAUCAUCAGAUUAAGAUCUGAGAGUUCAUAUAAGUCGACCACAAUAUUGUACUCAUUAUUUUUUGACUCUAUUCAUCAAUCCGUAUGCAAGAUAUGGUUCAUUCAUUUUUGCAUUUGUUUGGUUUUGUGGCGCGCCAUCCAAAAUCACAACAAAAUUUUACGCAGCGUAAAAGCUAAGAUUUCUAGCUUCAAUUUUUUUCACGGCAAACAUGCACUCUUGAGUUUUGAAUGCAGUUAUAGUCGGUUGUUGUAGUUUUGUAAUUUCGAAACGAGGAUCCAAAUGCACGCUUACUUUUUUUUUGUCCAUUUGAUUUUCAAGAGAAAAGAUUCUUGUUAAUAUAUAAAGUUCGGCUAAAAAUAAGUAAUAUCUUAUCAAUAAUUCUUUCGAUCA